CACGAAGGUUGGCUAAUCCUGGUCGGACAUCAGGAGGUUAGUGCAAUGGCAUAAGCCAGCUUGACUGCGAGCGUGACGGCGCGAGCAGGUGCGAAAGCAGGUCAUAGUGAUCCGGUGGUUCUGAAUGGAAGGACCAUCGCUCAACGGAUAAAAGGUACUCCGGGGAUAACAGGCUGAUACCGCCCAAGAGUUCAUAUCGACGGCGGUGUUUGGCACCUCGAUGUCGGCUCAUCACAUCCUGGGGCUGAAGUAGGUCCCAAGGGUAUGGCUGUUCGCCAUUUAAAGUGGUACGCGAGCUGGGUUUAGAACGUCGUGAGACAGUUCGGUCCCUAUCUGCCGUGGGCGCUGGAGAACUGAGGGGGGCUGCUCCUAGUACGAGAGGACCGGAGUGGACGCAUCACUGGUGUUCGGGUUGUCAUGCCAAUGGCACUGCCCGGUAGCUAAAUGCGGAAGAGAUAAGUGCUGAAAGCAUCUAAGCACGAAACUUGCCCCGAGAUGAGUUCUCCCUGACCCUUUAAGGUCCUGAAGGAACGUUGAAGACGACGACGUUGAUAGGCCGGGUGUGUAAGCGCAGCGAUGCGUUGAGCUAACCGGUACUAAUGAACCGUGAGGCUUAACCUU
RNAcentral lists this ribosomal RNA (621 nucleotides) under Shigella flexneri. RNAcentral describes it as "partial 23S ribosomal RNA". It matches the Rfam family "Bacterial large subunit ribosomal RNA", at positions 2309 to 2925 of the family's 2925-position model. The record is from RNAcentral. Lineage: Bacteria; Pseudomonadati; Pseudomonadota; Gammaproteobacteria; Enterobacterales; Enterobacteriaceae.